Molecule: long non-coding RNA, 393 nt
Organism: Oncorhynchus gorbuscha (pink salmon)
Lineage: Eukaryota; Metazoa; Chordata; Actinopteri; Salmoniformes; Salmonidae
Exons: 3
Source: RefSeq, a predicted model, not a curated record
CCCUAGAACAGCCUUCACCUCACGCACAGUUGUAACAGACGUGUGUAGUCCGAGGCGUUUCCCUCCCUGGUGUGGGCAGGCUGCUCUAUGGGGCAGCUGGUCAGGCCUUGUCCUAGCCAAUGGGCUGUCAGUGUGGGCAGGAAGAGGCUUCAGUGAUGCCGUGGCUCUGAUGUGGCUCAUUUCCUGUAUCGGUAGCUUCCUGUCCUCCUGCUUGCUGCUGGAGCCAAUCAAGGUGCUACUAGAAGGCCUGUACUAUGCCCUGUGGGUGAAGAGGCUCCGUCCAGAGGAGCAGGAUGUCCUGGUGGAGUGUCCUCGUGUUGACAGAGUUGUCCAGCGUGUCCCCAGAGUCAGACCACCCCAAGGCUUCGCUCUGUCCCAGGCCAGACAGCAGGC